UACGUAGGGUCCGAGCGUUGUCCGGAAUUAUUGGGCGUAAAGGGCUCGUAGGCGGUUCGUCACGUCGGGAGUGAAAACUCGGAGCUUAACUCCGAGCCUGCUUCCGAUACGGGCAGACUAGAGGUAGGCAGGGGAGAGCGGAACUCCUGGUGUAGCGGUGGAAUGCGCAGAUAUCAGGAAGAACACCGGUGGCGAAGGCGGCUCCCUGGGCCUUACCUGACGCUGAGGAGCGAAAGCGUGGGUAGCGAACAGG
This 253-nucleotide ribosomal RNA is filed under the name uncultured bacterium. RNAcentral describes it as "partial 16S ribosomal RNA". It matches the Rfam family "Bacterial small subunit ribosomal RNA", at positions 524 to 776 of the family's 1533-position model. The record is from RNAcentral.